CACGUAGGACGGCAUGGUAAGUCAAAGGUGAAAGCCCUCGGCUCAACCGAGGAACUGCCUUUGAAACUGCUUUGCUUGAGUCCGGGAGGGGGAGCGGAAUUCCCAGUGUAGCGGUGAAAUGCGUAGAUACUGGGAGGAACACCGGUGGCGAAGGCGGCUCCCUGGACCGGUACUGACGCUGAGGUGCGAAAGCGUGGGUAGCAAACA
RNAcentral lists this ribosomal RNA (207 nucleotides) under uncultured bacterium. RNAcentral's name for it is "partial 16S ribosomal RNA". It matches the Rfam family "Bacterial small subunit ribosomal RNA", at positions 568 to 774 of the family's 1533-position model. The record is from RNAcentral.